UCCGGUUGAUCCUGCCGGACCUGACUGCUAUCGGAUUGAUACUAAGCCAUGCGAGUCAUUGUAGCAAUACAAGGCAGACGGCUCAGUAACGCGUAGUCAAUCUACCCUAUGGACGGGGAUAACCUCGGGAAACUGAGAAUAAUACCCGACAGAACAUUAUGCCUGGAAUGGCUUAUGUUUUAAAUGAUUUAUCGCCGUAGGAUGGGACUGCGGCCUAUCAGUUUGUUGGUGAGGUAAUGGCCCACCAAGACUAUUACAGGUACGGGCUCUGAGAGGAGUGGCCCGGAGAUGGGUACUGAGACACGGACCCAGGCCCUAUGGGGCGCAGCAGGCGAGAAAACUUUGCAAUGUGCGAAAGCACGACAAGGUUAAUCCGAGUGGUUUCUGCUAAAGAAACCUUUUGUUAGUCCUAGAAACACUGAUGAAUAAGGGGUGGGCAAGUUCUGGUGUCAGCCGCCGCGGUAAAACCAGCACCUCAAGUGGUCAGGAUGAUUAUUGGGCCUAAAGCAUCCGUAGCUUGCUUUGUAAGUUCUCGGUUAAAUCCAUACGCUUAACGUAUGGGCUGCCGGUAAUACUGCAAAGCUAGGGAGUGGGAGAGGUAGACGGUACUCGGUAGGAAGGGGUAAAAUCCUUUGAUCUAUUGAUGACCACCUGUGGCGAAGGCGGUCUACCAGAACACGUCCGACGGUGAGGGAUGAAAGCUGGGGGAGCAAACCGGAUUAGAUACCCGGGUAGUCCCAGCUGUAAACUAUGCAAACUCAGUGAUGCAUUGGCUUGUGGCCAAUGCAGUGCUGCAGGGAAGCCGUUAAGUUUGCCGCCUGGGAAGUACGUACGCAAGUAUGAAACUUAAAGGAAUUGGCGGGAAGGGCGAAUUCGU
RNAcentral lists this ribosomal RNA (877 nucleotides) under uncultured archaeon. RNAcentral describes it as "bacterial SSU rRNA". It matches the Rfam family "Archaeal small subunit ribosomal RNA", at positions 1 to 889 of the family's 1478-position model. The record is from RNAcentral.